GACCACUCCGGUGGCCUAAUGGUCAAAGCGUUCGCCUCGGAUGCGAGAGGUCGCGGGUUCGUAUCCCUGCCGAGUCA
This is a non-coding RNA of Potamilus streckersoni, 77 nucleotides long. The record is from the annotation of a GenBank genome assembly. NCBI's taxonomy places the organism in Eukaryota, Metazoa, Mollusca, Bivalvia, Unionida, Unionidae.